GCCCCCGUAGCUCAGGUGGAUAGAGCAAGGGAUUCCUAAUCCCUGUGCCACAGGUUCGAGUCCUGUCGGGGGCA
This is a non-coding RNA of Deltaproteobacteria bacterium CG2_30_43_15, 74 nucleotides long. The record is from Rfam. NCBI's taxonomy places the organism in Bacteria, Deltaproteobacteria.